AUACAACUUUCAGCAACGGAUCUCUUGGCUCUCGCAUCGAUGAAGAACGCAGCGAAAUGCGAUAAGUAAUGUGAAUUGCAGAAUUCAGUGAAUCAUCGAAUCUUUGAACGCACCUUGCGCCCUUUGGCUAUUCCGAAGGGCAUGCCUGUUUUAGUAUC
This 158-nucleotide ribosomal RNA is filed under the name uncultured Thelephoraceae. RNAcentral's name for it is "5.8S ribosomal RNA". It matches the Rfam family "5.8S ribosomal RNA". From Rfam's summary of the family: 5.8S ribosomal RNA (5.8S rRNA) is a component of the large subunit of the eukaryotic ribosome. Lineage: Eukaryota; Fungi; Basidiomycota; Agaricomycetes; Thelephorales; Thelephoraceae. The record is from RNAcentral.